Molecule: ribosomal RNA, 253 nt
Filed under: uncultured bacterium
Lineage: Bacteria
Description: partial 16S ribosomal RNA
Rfam family: Bacterial small subunit ribosomal RNA
Source: RNAcentral
UACGGGGGGGGCAAGCGUUGUUCGGAAUUACUGGGCGUAAAGGGUUCGUAGGUGGCUUGCUUAGUCAGACGUGAAAUCCCUCAGCUUAACUGGGGAACUGCGUCUGAUACUGGAUGGCUUGAGUUUGGGAGAGGGAUGCGGAAUUCCAGGUGUAGCGGUGAAAUGCGUAGAUAUCUGGAGGAACACCGGUGGCGAAGGCGGCGAGCUGGCCUGUACCUGACGCUGAGGCGCGACAGCGUGGGGAGCAAACAGG